ACCCCCUAAUGAGAAGAUUUUUGACCAUAGACCAAAAAUUUCCUCUCAUUUCUCUCAUUUUUUUCACUCUCUCUGUCUCGGUUUUUCUCUCUGUCUCUGAGACGAUUUUCUCCGCAACUUUACCUCAAACCCUAACUUCAUCUCGAAUCCAACUUCACCUCUAACCCUAACUUCAUCUCAAACUCCGAUCGAUAUCUCAAGGAACCCAACUUCACCUCAAUCUCCAAUACCAAACCCUAGCUUCAACUACGCCGAUUUACAUCUUAACUCAAAUUCAGGGAACUUGGAUUGUGGUUUUUUUACAGUUGAAACAUAGGCAUGUGAAGCUCACUGGGACAAAUAAGAGACAGAUCUAGCUAUUGAACAUCAUUUCUCAGAAAAUAUGAGAGUUUCCAAAGGAAUUGAAGCAUGGUGUUCUGGUAAAACUGAAGAAGACGAAGACAACUAUCCCAUCUUGGCAGUGGAACUGAUAUCUACAAGAUGCUUGUGAAGUACCUACAAUAUCACUCUUAGUCAUCAUUACUCAAUGCUUUUUUCAAUAUUGCAUCUGGUAGCAGAAGUAAAGAGUUUACAUCUUUUGAUGUCUUCCACAUCUCCAAGAUAAUACAACAAACUUGAAUCCAAAAGUUUCUGACGGCAAACGAGAAUUUUUGGGUAUCUUAUUAUUCCAAGUACUUUCAGCAUUCUAUAGAGAAAUCUUCAUCCGUUUCUUGUCGGCCAUUUUAACAGUAUGUUGUACGAAUUUAUCGAAUAUUGAGGAACUAAUAGCUCCCUCCUAAAUUGCACUGAAAAUUUAUGUACUCUGUAACUUGAAACCGGAAAAUGUGACUUUGUAGAUAUGUUGUUCGAUUUGGAAUCUAUGUUCUAUUUAUUGUCAGCUA
Long non-coding RNA from Papaver somniferum (opium poppy), 881 nucleotides. RefSeq lists it as uncharacterized. NCBI's taxonomy places the organism in Eukaryota, Viridiplantae, Streptophyta, Magnoliopsida, Ranunculales, Papaveraceae. The record is from RefSeq and is a predicted model, not a curated record. The transcript is spliced from 6 exons.